GCCUGGCUGGCUCAGUUGGUGUAGUAUGCAGCUCUUAAUCUCGGGGUUGUGGGUUCAAGCCCCACGCUAGGUG
This 73-nucleotide transfer RNA is filed under the name Felis catus (domestic cat). It matches the Rfam family "tRNA". From Rfam's summary of the family: Transfer RNA (tRNA) molecules are approximately 80 nucleotides in length. Their secondary structure includes four short double-helical elements and three loops (D, anti-codon, and T loops). Further hydrogen bonds mediate the characteristic L-shaped molecular structure. tRNAs have two regions of fundamental functional importance: the anti-codon, which is responsible for specific mRNA codon recognition, and the 3' end, to which the tRNAs corresponding amino acid is attached (by aminoacyl-tRNA synthetases). tRNAs cope with the degeneracy of the genetic code in two manners: having more than one tRNA (with a specific anti-codon) for a particular amino acid; and 'wobble' base-pairing, i.e. permitting non-standard base-pairing at the 3rd anti-codon position. Lineage: Eukaryota; Metazoa; Chordata; Mammalia; Carnivora; Felidae. The record is from Rfam by way of RNAcentral.